CCUACGGGAGGCAGCAGUGAGGAAUAUUGGUCAAUGGGCGAGAGCCUGAACCAGCCAAGUCGCGUGAAGGAUGACGGCCCUACGGGUUGUAAACGUCUUUUGUCAGGGAGCAAGGGGGUCCACGCGUGGGCGUAGCGAGAGUACCUGAAGAAAAAGCAUCGGCUAACUCCGUGCCAGCAGCAGCGGUAAUACGGAGGAUGCGAGCGUUAUCCGGAUUUCUGGGGUUUAAAGGGUGCGUAGGCGGAAUAUCAAGUCAGCGGUAAAAUUUCGGGGCUCAACCCCGUCGUGCCGUUGAAACUGCUGUUCUUGAGUGGGCGAGACGUAUGCGGAAUGCGUGGUGUAGCGG
Molecule: ribosomal RNA, 346 nt
Filed under: uncultured bacterium
Lineage: Bacteria
Description: partial 16S ribosomal RNA
Rfam family: Bacterial small subunit ribosomal RNA
Source: RNAcentral